Molecule: ribosomal RNA, 253 nt
Filed under: uncultured bacterium
Lineage: Bacteria
Description: partial 16S ribosomal RNA
Rfam family: Bacterial small subunit ribosomal RNA
Source: RNAcentral
UACGUAGGUGGCAAGCGUUGUCCGGAAUUAUUGGGCGUAAAGCGCACGUAGGCGGCUCGUUAAGUCGGAUGUGAAAGCCCCGGGCUCAACCCGGGAAGUGCAUUCGAAACUGGCGAGCUUGAAUAUGGAAGAGGAUCGCGGAAUUCCCGGUGUAGAGGUGAAAUUCGUAGAUAUCGGGAGGAACACCAGUGGCGAAGGCGGCGAUCUGGGCCAAUAUUGACGCUGAGGUGCGAAAGCGUGGGGAGCAAACAGG